This 399-nucleotide ribosomal RNA is filed under the name uncultured eukaryote. RNAcentral's name for it is "SSU rRNA". It matches the Rfam family "Eukaryotic small subunit ribosomal RNA", at positions 587 to 972 of the family's 1831-position model. The record is from RNAcentral.
AGCUCCAAUAGCGUAUAUUAAAGUUGCUGCAGUUAAAAAGCUCGUAGUUGGAUUUCUGACGAAACUGCUAGCUGGCCCGCCACGCAAGUGGUGAGUGCCGGCUUGGCGUUUGUCAUCCGUUCGAAUGAUAUGCGUGCUGCCCUUCACUGGGUUGGCGCUGCAUGUUUUCGAUCUUUUACUUUGAAAAAAUUAGAGUGUUUCAAGCAGGCAUGUUUUGCUAUGAAUACAUUAGCAUGGAAUAAUAAUCUAGGACUUUCGGUUCUAUUUUGUUGGUGUUCUGGAGCUGAAGUAAUGAUUGAUAGGGAUAGUUGGGGGUGCUAGUAUUCAAUGGCCAGAGGUGAAAUUCUCGGAUUCCUUGAAGACUAACUUAUGCGAAAGCAUUCACCAAGGAUGUCUUCU